UACGUAGGUCGCAAGCGUUGUCCGGAUUUACUGGGCGUAAAGAGCGCGCAGGCGGCUGGUCAAGUCCGAUGUGAAAUCUCCCGGCUCAACUGGGAAACUGCAUCGGAAACUGCUCAGCUUGAAGAUGGGAGAGGGUAGUGGAAUUCCCGGUGUAGUGGUGAAAUGCGUAGAUAUCGGGAGGAACACCAGUGGCGAAGGCGACUACCUGGCCCAUUCUUGACGCUGAGGCGCGAAAGCGAGGGGAGCGAACGGG
Molecule: ribosomal RNA, 253 nt
Filed under: uncultured bacterium
Lineage: Bacteria
Description: partial 16S ribosomal RNA
Rfam family: Bacterial small subunit ribosomal RNA
Source: RNAcentral